This is a long non-coding RNA of Venturia canescens, 896 nucleotides long. RefSeq lists it as uncharacterized. The record is from RefSeq and is a predicted model, not a curated record. NCBI's taxonomy places the organism in Eukaryota, Metazoa, Arthropoda, Insecta, Hymenoptera, Ichneumonidae. The transcript is spliced from 3 exons.
CGUAAAUUUUCAAUUCAUUAUUUUGGAAUAAUAAAAUCUAAUGUAUUUUUCGUAUGAUGUCCUAUAUAUAUCGCUUCAACUUCCUUAAGGGAGUGAUCAAAUUCGUUAACUAAACCGCUCGCAAAUACUUCGAACUAAUAAUCAAGGUGGCCGAACUAACAAUUUUUAGCACCACGUGGCGGAAUGGAAAUUUUACUUAAAUUUUUUCCUCAAUAAAAAUCCUAAUCGAGUCCGUCAGUCCCAAGCGUUCUGCAGGUUAGAUUCGAUAACUGAAAAUGAUCUGAAUUUCUCUACGACACGUGCGUCGUAUAUAUUUUAAUGGUUGCUUCAUCGAUUUGAAGAUAACUAGGAAAUAUAUGCCGAAAACUUUUCCAUCAUUUGAUGCGGAACCAAAAAAAAUAUUUGAAUAAGCGGUUGGGUCACCCAACAAUAAAUGUAAAUGACUUUCGAAAAACAAAAGCCAGUCAGACCCGAAACAUCACACAUACACCAACAAAAGUAUAAAAACGAGGAAUUUUUCACUAAUCCAUAACAGUCCACACGCAACCGCGUAGAGCAAAUCUUUAUUAUCGAAUUUGUAACUGAAAGUCUUCGUAUCCGUGCAAUCAUGUGGUCAAUUCGACUUUUCGCCGUUUUGCUUCUUAUUGUAAUCGUCAAUAGCGUGAUCGUUAACGCUGAUAAUGGUUCGGAAAAAUUUGACCCUCGUACCAAGGAAGCAGCAACGUUUCGACAAUGUUAUUUCAAUCCUGUAACGUGUUUUUAAAAAUGGAGGAUCACGAUCUCGGAUUUCAACGGCCUCUGAAAUGAAACAUUUUUUCCAGCAGGGCAGUUCCUGCCUGUUGUCAAUACUUAUGUACCCACGAACUAGUAAUAAGAAAAAUAAAAAAUUGAGAUGU